Molecule: long non-coding RNA, 3762 nt
Organism: Phyllostomus discolor (pale spear-nosed bat)
Lineage: Eukaryota; Metazoa; Chordata; Mammalia; Chiroptera; Phyllostomidae
Exons: 2
Source: RefSeq, a predicted model, not a curated record
GACUUAAAGAAUAAGUUCAGCAGCCGACUGGACCUUUCAGUGUUCAUUCGUUCUGCAAGUAUGUACAGAGUGCCAAGCAUUUAGAGCUGGGCCACACGGAGCGUGGAGCCAGCGGACGUUAGGGUGCUGAAUACAGGUUUGAGGGGUGACGGUCAGGAUCGUGGUAUAUUUCCCCACUCAGAAAUAGCAUAUGACAAAUGUGAUUCCAACCUGGAGCGAGAAGUUCCCUAACGAGUGCCUGGGUGUGGGUUCACCUGUCUUCAGAAAACUCAGAUUGGGAGGCAGGAGGCGCGGCAAGAGGAGUGAGUGAGUAGGGGCGGGCUGAGCUCAGCCGCCUGGCCACUGCCGGACGUUGGGAAGAGCCAGCCGUAGUUCACAGCCAGGUCGGCCGCCGCUGUCCACACUGAGGCCACUCCUCCGGGCAGCAGUCAGGCGUCCGUCCGGGCUUUGGUGUCUCACCAAAGGUGUCUUGACCUCUUCUCCUGUUCGGUCCCCGGUCUGCUGCUACUUACUAGUCAUGUGACCCUGAGCAAAGCCCUUAACCUGUCUCCACUGGCCGUUCUCCUCUAAUGUGGAGGUAAUGUCCCUCCUGCCAGGGCAGCUGCAGCACUUAGCUCAGGGUCACACGAGCGGAUGGCCCGAGAAAGCUGUCCGGGAGGCCAUGGCUGGUGUGGCGGUGCUGCUCUGGGUCCCUGCUGUCCUUCUAGUGCCCUGUCUGCAUGCGUGCAUGGACACAGUGCGUGUGAGCACACACACACAAGUUCUGGGGCUCUGCGUGUGUCGAAUGUACAGAACGUGUGCUUUGGUGCCCUGUUGCCACUCAGAAAAGCUCUCUUUCACAUUCAGUCUCAUAGGAAAAAAAGUAUCUUCUUUCUCUGCAGGAGUCUUGACUCCCUGGAGCCUCUGCAAACAGCCCCGUGGGUGGGGUGACUCACUGUACUUAGACUGUAGCCAAUGUUUACCGCCAGGCCAGGCGUGGGGCUGGAGGGAUGGCCGGCCGACUCUCCAGGGGCACGUGUUGUAAACCAGGCCCUGGGGACCACGCAGGGCCUGCACUGGAGGUCAGCGUCAUCUUUCUGUUGCAGUGUCGCUGCUCCUGCCACUUUUCCGGUCAGCACGUCCUGGCUGGGGGUAAAAGAAAGACAGCAAGAUACACCAUUCUUAUCAGAGACUCACCUUUCCAAAUACAGAGCACUGUGUGUGCAUCACUGAUGCUGUUGUAAUUGCUUUUUACACGUGACUUCCGGAUGGCUCCCUUUGAGUGGUUGUGCUAAAUGAUUUGCUUCAAGCCCUGUGGAUUGGGAUGGGAAGGGGGAGCGUUACCCUCGGAGCCCUGGAGCCCGCAGGGUGGGAGGGAGAAGGAGAUUUAGAAUGUCUUAAGAUCUUCCUAUUCUUGGAUGGAAGUGCAGGUGUCAAGAGACGGCCAGCUUUCUGUUUUCUGGGCCAAGAGGAAGGCGCAUUUAUGAAUCCUGGAGUUAAUCUUGAAGCUUCAGUCGAACCAAAGGAGCUUAUGUUCUUAGUUAACAAGUGACAAAAAGAAAAAAAGAAACUUCUGAAUCUUCUUUUCCCUCUUUUGCCUUUUGAGAUUUUCAGAGAUUUACCAACACCCAAGGAAAAGAAUAUCCCUAAGAGAUGAAGUUCAGUUUUCUGAGUAAUCCGAGGUUGAUUGACAUGAUUUAUUCAGGUUGAAUUCAAGUCUGUCUUCUCAGGAAAAGUGAGAGAUCAGUUAGUUCCCUACUUUCUGCAAUCUGAACUCCCAAAUCUCUCCCCCUUGAGCCCAUGACAGUAGUUAAAAUGACAAUCCUUAAAAGUAACCAAUUUCUUUAAAUAUAUAAAUAGCCCAUGAGCUUCUAUCAGUCAGUCAUUCAUAUUCUAGUAUGAACUAGAUCCUUCACGUUUGAUUUCUAGAGUUACACUAAUUGCAUGGGAGAAAGGAGCAUAGGUUCUUCAAAAAGCCAAACAGUCUGGUACUGUCUCCCAAAGAUUAGACCAGAUGGGGUACCACUGGGGGAAGGUCUCAGUUUUGGGCUACCUAUGGACUAUCAGCUUUCCACUCUGCCACGCCAGCCUCAGGCUUCUGUGUCCUGGUCAGAAUAAGAUGCAGCAGACCGCACGUAGAGAGAAGAGGCCGAUCACCAUGGUACGUGGGCAGUGGCAGGGUGCUUGUGGACACGGGCCUCACUCCUUUACUCACUGUUUGUAACUGGUGCAGCGUUUGGGUGGUCUGGUCCUGGGGCAACACAAGGUGUUGUUAUUCUGUACUCGGCCCACACCCAAGAAGGAAUCUGCAGAAUUAUGUCUUCAUGACACACACGGGAAGGUCUGUGCUCAGCUUACCCGAAGCGGCACCACGGAACUGUGGUCCGUUUAGGAUUUGGGCCAGGCUCCGCCUGAUGCCGUGUCCACGCCACGUCCUUGUGCACCACACUGCGUCUCUGGGGGCUCGGAAAUCACCCCGGGGCUCCCCAAGUGCCCCUGUCUGUCAGUAACCACAACUGGUGACUGGAAAUGUUUGAGUAAACCUUGCCGGUCUCGGGUCCCCCGCACUUCCAGGUGAGAGUCAGAAACUGACCCAGGUAAAAGCAAAGGCAGCAGCCGCCCCCCGUCUGUGGGCCUGACCCUUCGGCCUGCUCCUCUCCCGUUGGCCGGGCCGUGGGUUUUGUUGCCCGAGGCAGUGAGGGCCUGGACGCGCAAUCUAACAGAAGUCACUCGUGUUUGUUAAAUGGGAAGCAAGCAUCGCCUCCGAGGGCAAUGAGAACAGCAAUUUCCACUGAGUUAAGGGGGUGGGGGAAUAAAGGGGAGGACACAGAUGCAUGAAGUGUCAACCGCUUGUUUGUCAUGUUCUGAGUCCUGGUCCCCCGCCCCCAUUUUUUGUUUGGAUAGAAAAUAGUGUUCCUUUUACACUUGCCUAGGUAUUCCAACAAAAACGGUGGAGGGAAUCCAGGGAAAUCAGUAGAUUGGUUAGGGUACCAGCGCAAAGCGUAAUGAAGCCACAGGUAGUUAGUGAUGACUUCUCACAGUGGGAAGGCGAGGUUUAUCGUAGCUGCAUCCUUGGUGUCAGUCCAGGAUUAGCCGGGGAAGAUCCCAGCAACGUACUAGCACCCAGGAAAACAAGGGUUCCUGCACGUGGGGUUGUGGGUGAGAAAUACACUCUAAAGGCUGUUUCACGGACCCCGUGUUUGGGAUUUUGUAAGCAGGUAUCACGUGUAAGUGUCCUGUGGUUCAAGGAAAAACACUAGGUUAAGCCAAGAUUAACACUAGGUUAAUCUUAACGUUGUUGGCUGUUAAUAAAUCAGUCUUUCAACCUUCCCUUGGCCAUUGAACUCACCACCAGGGAGCAGCUCCUGAGGCAGGACAGCGGGGUGACGAGGGAACCUGGGGCCAGGCCGCCUGGGUCCAAGUCCCUGCUCUGCCACUCACUGCAAGUCUGGCUCUAAGCCGGUUAUCUCGGUUUCCUCAUCUACAACAUGGGGAUCAAAUAUCUACCCCUAGGGCUGUCGAAACAGUAAAUAAGUUAAACCAGGUAAAGUGUGCGGAACUGCGCCUAGUGUUUGAUAAGUGCUCUGUAAGUCGUGGGACUCUAUUGCUGAUAUAAUUUUUGACACCAGAAGACUAGCCAUCUCUUUAAAUGGCGCUAAGUACCUACGGACAACUCCGUAAGACCCGAUGUCUCCAGGGCUAAUUGUUCGCUGUUUGCUUCAAAAUAAGUUACUACAGGGAUUUAAUUUUCCCCAGCAUGCGUGGAAUUCAGACAAGUUAAUU